Molecule: ribosomal RNA, 535 nt
Filed under: Collariella bostrychodes
Lineage: Eukaryota; Fungi; Ascomycota; Sordariomycetes; Sordariales; Chaetomiaceae
Description: eukaryotic LSU rRNA
Rfam family: Eukaryotic large subunit ribosomal RNA
Source: RNAcentral
AAAGAAACCAAAGGGAUUGCCCUAGUAACGGCGAGUGAAGCGGCAACAGCUCAAAUUUGAAAUCUGGCUUCGGCCCGAGUUGUAAUUUGUAGAGGAAGAUUUAGGCGCGGCACCUUCUGAGUCCCCUGGAACGGGGCGCCAUAGAGGGUGAGAGCCCCGUAUAGUUGGAUGCCUAGCCUGUGUAAAUCUCCUUCGACGAGUCGAGUAGUUUGGGAAUGCUGCUCAAAAUGGGAGGUAAAUUUCUUCUAAAGCUAAAUAUUGGCCAGAGACCGAUAGCGCACAAGUAGAGUGAUCGAAAGAUGAAAAGCACUUUGAAAAGAGGGUUAAAUAGCACGUGAAAUUGUUGAAAGGGAAGCGCUUGUGACCAGACUUGCGCCGGGCGGAUCAUCCGGUGUUCUCACCGGUGCACUCCGCCCGGCUCAGGCCAGCAUCGGUUCUCGUGGGGGGAUAAAGGCCCUGGGAACGUAGCUCCUCCGGGAGUGUUAUAGCCCAGGGUGUAAUGCCCUCGCGGGGACCGAGGUUCGCGCAUGGGCAA